RNAcentral lists this transfer RNA (80 nucleotides) under Echinaster luzonicus. RNAcentral describes it as "tRNA-Pro". The record is from RNAcentral. Lineage: Eukaryota; Metazoa; Echinodermata; Asteroidea; Spinulosida; Echinasteridae.
UCAGAAAGGGAAGUCUACAUAAAUCCUACUCCCACCGGCAACUCCCAAAGCCACCAUUCUUAAAAUUAAACUACCUCCUG